This 1346-nucleotide ribosomal RNA is filed under the name uncultured bacterium. RNAcentral's name for it is "partial 16S ribosomal RNA". It matches the Rfam family "Bacterial small subunit ribosomal RNA", at positions 28 to 1381 of the family's 1533-position model. The record is from RNAcentral.
GACGAACGCUGGCGGCGUGCUUAACACAUGCAAGUCGAACGGAAAGGCCCUGCUUUUGUGGGGUGCUCGAGUGGCGAACGGGUGAGUAACACGUGAGUAACCUGCCCUUGACUUUGGGAUAACUUCAGGAAACUGGGGCUAAUACCGGAUAGGAGCUCCUGCUGCAUGGUGGGGGUUGGAAAGUUUCGGCGGUUGGGGAUGGACUCGCGGCUUAUCAGCUUGUUGGUGGGGUAGUGGCUUACCAAGGCUUUGACGGGUAGCCGGCCUGAGAGGGUGACCGGCCACAUUGGGACUGAGAUACGGCCCAGACUCCUACGGGAGGCAGCAGUGGGGAAUAUUGCACAAUGGGCGGAAGCCUGAUGCAGCAACGCCGCGUGCGGGAUGACGGCCUUCGGGUUGUAAACCGCUUUCGCCUGUGACGAAGCGUGAGUGACGGUAAUGGGUAAAGAAGCACCGGCUAACUACGUGCCAGCAGCCGCGGUGAUACGUAGGGUGCGGGCGUUGUCCGGAUUUAUUGGGCGUAAAGGGCUCGUAGGUGGUUGAUCGCGUCGGAAGUGUAAUCUUGGGGCUUAACCCUGAGCGUGCUUUCGAUACGGGUUGACUUGAGGAAGGUAGGGGAGAAUGGAAUUCCUGGUGGAGCGGUGGAAUGCGCAGAUAUCAGGAGGAACACCAGUGGCGAAGGCGGUUCUCUGGGCCUUUCCUGGCGCUGAGGAGCGAAAGCGUGGGGAGCGAACAGGCUUAGAUACCCUGGUAGUCCACGCUGUAAACGGUGGGUACUAGGUGUGGGGUCCAUUCCACGGGUUCCGUGCCGUAGCUAACGCUUUAAGUACCCCGCCUGGGGAGUACGGCCGCAAGGCUAAAACUCAAAGGAAUUGACGGGGCCCCGCACAAGCGGCGGAGCAUGCGGAUUAAUUCGAUGCAACGCGUAGAACCUUACCUGGGUUUGACAUGGAUCGGGAGUGCUCAGAGAUGGGUGUGCCUCUUUUGGGGUCGGUUCACAGGUGGUGCAUGGCUGUCGUCAGCUCGUGUCGUGAGAUGUUGGGUUAAGUCCCGCAACGAGCGCAACCCUUGUUCACUGUUGCCAGCACGUUAUGGUGGGGACUCAGUGGAGACCGCCGGGGUCAACUCGGAGGAAGGUGGGGAUGACGUCAAGUCAUCAUGCCCCUUAUGUCCAGGGCUUCACGCAUGCUACAAUGGCUGGUACAGAGAGUGGCGAGCCUGUGAGGGUGAGCGAAUCUCGGAAAGCCGGUCUCAGUUCGGAUUGGGGUCUGCAACUCGACCUCAUGAAGUCGGAGUCGCUAGUAAUCGCAGAUCAGCAACGCUGCGGUGAAUACGUUCCCGGGGCU